RNAcentral lists this long non-coding RNA (497 nucleotides) under Salmo salar (Atlantic salmon). RNAcentral's name for it is "lncRNA (ENSSSAG00000114061.1)". The record is from RNAcentral. Lineage: Eukaryota; Metazoa; Chordata; Actinopteri; Salmoniformes; Salmonidae.
GUAGGGGUAAUAAUAUGCUGAAGGCUUGCUGUAUUGGGUACAGAUGGUAAUAUGUAGGCUAAUAUGCUGAAGGCUAGCUGUAUUGGGUACAGAUGAUAAUAUGUAGGGGUAAUAAUAUGUUGAAGGCUAGCUGUAUUGGGUACAGAUGAUAAUAUGUAGGCUAUAAUAAUAUGCUGAAGGCUAGCUGUAUUGGGUACAGAUGGUAAUAUGUAGGGGUAAUAAUAUGCUGAAGGCUAGCUGUAUUGGGUACAGAUGAUAAUAUGUAGGGGUAAUAAUAUGCUGAAGGCUAGCUGUAUUGGGUACAGAUGAUAAUAUGUAGGGGUAAUAAUAUGCUGAAGGCUAGCUGUAUUGGGUACAGAUGAUAAUAUGUAGGGGUAAUAAUAUGUUGAAGGCUAGCUGUAUUGGGUACAGAUGAUAAUAUGGGUAAUAAUAUGCUGAAGGCUAGCUGUAUUGGGUACAGAUGAUAAUAUGUAGGGGUAAUAAUAUGCUGAAGGCUA